UAGGGAAUCUUCCGCAAUGGACGAAAGUCUGACGGAGCAACGCCGCGUGAGUGAAGAAGGAUUUCGGUUCGUAAAACUCUGUUGUUAGGGAAGAAAAAAUGUAUAGUAACUAUAUACAAAAGAGACGGUACCUAACCAGAAAGCCACGGCUAACUACGUGCCAGCAGCCGCGGUAAUACGUAGGUGGCAAGCGUUGUCCGGAAUUAUUGGGCGUAAAGCGCGCGCAGGUGGUUUAGAAAGUCUGAUGUGAAAGCCCACGGCUCAACCGUGGAGGGUCAUUGGAAACCAAUAAACUUGAGUGCAGGAGAGAAAAGUGGAAUUCCUAGUGUAGCGAUGAAAUGCGUAGAGAUUAGGAGGAACACCGGUGGCGAAAGCGGCUUUUUGGCCUGCAACUGACACUGAGGCGCGAAAGCGUGGGGAGCAAACAGG
This 429-nucleotide ribosomal RNA is filed under the name Verrucomicrobiota bacterium. RNAcentral's name for it is "Verrucomicrobia bacterium partial 16S ribosomal RNA". It matches the Rfam family "Bacterial small subunit ribosomal RNA", at positions 355 to 776 of the family's 1533-position model. Lineage: Bacteria; Pseudomonadati; Verrucomicrobiota. The record is from RNAcentral.